ACUGGGAGAGAGUUAGAGUAUCCGCAGAUGAGAAGGAUACUGCUUGAUCUGCAAAAAAUUUGAGGGUGCAGAUUAUCUUCAUAAUGUGAAUUCCAGACCUAGAUCUGCAGAGGUUUUUGUUGGAUCAAUGGCUUUUCAACCUGUUUUUUGCCGUUCUUCCCCCUGCCUCCACUGCUUCCUCACCAGGUGCCUCUAGCCUUUGGCUAGCUGAGCAGAACUGAGAGUUUCUUCUUCCUCACAGUCAUGCCACAGCCCUGAUAUCAGCAAGUCUCCUCUUCUCUAAUGAUGGAAGGGGUGGAGCUAAGGAAAGAGAGUGCUGAGUAGUCAGUAAGGGAAGAACAAAGGCUAGGAGAAGUUGCCACAGCCAGCAAAAACAACUGCAGCUGUUUAGCAAGGUGCUUAUCCAGCCCAACCUGCAUAAAAGGAGAGAGAUUGACUGCAUCUGGGUAAUCAGAUUUUCCAUUUUUUCCUCAAGUUAUGGCUGCUUCUAUUGCAUAACCGCCGUGAUCUGCUGGGAACAGCACCCCGCUUGCACUUCAGCAGAGCGCUGCAGAGAUUUUCUGAGCAAGCACAGACAGACCUGUGAAACCUCAUUCAAGGCUUUGGUGGACUCCUUAGUAGCCAGAGCAGAAUGCAAAGCUUCCUGUCAGGACAAACUUUGUGACUCCCUGUGUAAGCACUGUGCCAUCCUCGAGGAAGUGCAGUGACACCAUGAGGAAUUUGAAAGAUGCAGUCGACAAGUCCAGUCCUGAGUUCCAUAGUUCAAACGACAUUUUCAAGGAAGCCUUAGAGAAAUACCUA
Molecule: long non-coding RNA, 801 nt
Organism: Gavialis gangeticus (Gharial)
Lineage: Eukaryota; Metazoa; Chordata; Crocodylia; Gavialidae
Exons: 3
Source: RefSeq, a predicted model, not a curated record